UAUUAUUAUUAUGGACACGCCAGCUCCACUUUUGAGGCAAACUGGAUAUAAUUGUACCACGGCCAGAUGUAGCCCACAGAGUUUGAGUUUGACAUGCCUGCUCUACACCAUAUGUGAUCAUUUUAAAUAUAUUUGUUUUAACUUAAGAGACUCGUAGUGAAUUUGUGUUUUAAUACAGGUAAAUGCAGAAUUCACCCUCAUCACCACAGUCCCCCUGUUCUCAACCUUUAUGUCCCGACUGGAUCAUUACUAUAGCCAGCUAUUGAGGGUAUUCAAAAAGGAGGGGGGAACAGCAAGACGUGAUAUCGACGUAAUCAUUGCAGAAAUGGACAUGGCUACUGAGGAUAUUGGUAUUGAUGCAAUGACAGAAAUGGAGAGACUGGCUUUGGGUGUCUACAUUGUUCGACAUGAUGGAGCAGAUGCUUCAGAUCCACCUGAGGAUGUUGGCGUCGUCAUUGAAGGCUGCACAGUGCUGCGAGAUCUGAGAGAGGUUGCAAAUGGAUGUGCAGUCCUGUUUGGCUUGAUCUAGUGUUUAAACUUGAGCUAUCCCAAGGAGCUGCAAUACACUUUCGAAUUUCUUCAGAAAGUGUCUAUGGAAUUGGAUGGGAACAAGCUCUCCACUAAAGUGCAGGUCCUCAAAAACAAACUGCAUGAGUAAAAUCACCUGCACCAGACAAGACUGGACCUGGCUUUGGACACUUUAAUUGUGUUGACUGUUACUUUAUUUUUGGACUGCUGCUAGACAAAAUAAAGCUGUGAUCAAUGAUGGUUUGUAAUAAGCAGACAGGACUGCAGUUGGUCAUCGACUUGCUUGGGGAGGCUCAGUUCUUUGGAUUUUGGACUGCUGCUAGACAAAACAUCUAGCAAUCUAAAGACAAUGUUGGUUGUGGUAAUUGGCAUUUAAACUUCUCUUGUUUUCUGAUUUCUUCAGAAUCAAAAGAUGUGAAAUACAACAAACACUGGUUUGUUAUAAUGAAACCAUCUCAAACAAUUUAAGGUGAAGAUUGUUUUUUGUUACGUAAACAUUGCUGAUUUUCUAUUUCUCCUGUUGAUGCAAACUAUAAACCUUGUAUUUUUCAUAAAAAUGUUCUUGAUAAGUCAGCAUGUAUGUAAAGUCUGAACUUAGUAUGUUCUAACGGUGAAGUGAGAAUUUUCUGCAGCAUGAAUCCUCUUGAUUGUAAACUUCAGUUAAUUUAACCUCCCUCCAUAUAGAAAACAAGGAUUUGCCUCUUUAGUUUUUAUUUCAGUAGGCAACACCUGUUAGACAUUGUUGACGUCAAAGUUCAGAUUUACUAUAAAGCUGUAAUGGGAUUGAACAUUAUCGGAUGGUGAAAGAUUCACAGACAAGUUUUAUAUUUUAGAUUUUUUUUUUUUUUUUUAUAGUGGUCUAUUCUUUGCACAUUUUU
Long non-coding RNA from Cyprinus carpio carpio, 1406 nucleotides. NCBI's taxonomy places the organism in Eukaryota, Metazoa, Chordata, Actinopteri, Cypriniformes, Cyprinidae. The record is from Ensembl.